ACAUCCAGCGAACUUGGCAGAGAUGCCUUGGUGCCUUCGGGAACGCUGAGACAGGUGCUGCAUGGCUGUCGUCAGCUCGUGUUGUGAAAUGUUGGGUUAAGUCCCGNAACGAGCGCAACCCUUAUCCUUUGUUGCCAGCGAUUCGGUCGGGAACUCAAAGGAGACUGCCGGUGAUAAACCGGAGGAAGGUGGGGAUGACGUCAAGUCAUCAUGGCCCUUACGAGUAGGGCUACACACGUGCUACAAUGGCGCAUACAAAGAGAAGCGACCUCGCGAGAGCAAGCGGACCUCAUAAAGUGCGUCGUAGUCCGGAUCGGAGUCUGCAACUCGACUCCGUGAAGUCGGAAUCGCUAGUAAUCGUGGAUCAGAAUGCCACGGUGAAUACGUUCCCGGGCCUUGUACACACCGCCCGUCACACCAUGGGAGUGGGUUGCAAAAGAAGUAGGUAGCUUAACCUCCGGGAGGACGCUUACCACUUUGUGAUUCAUGACUGGGGUGAAGUCGUAACAAGGUAAGCGUAGCGAG
RNAcentral lists this ribosomal RNA (525 nucleotides) under uncultured bacterium. Its description in RNAcentral is "bacterial SSU rRNA". It matches the Rfam family "Bacterial small subunit ribosomal RNA", at positions 984 to 1509 of the family's 1533-position model. The record is from RNAcentral.